Molecule: long non-coding RNA, 421 nt
Filed under: Homo sapiens (human)
Lineage: Eukaryota; Metazoa; Chordata; Mammalia; Primates; Hominidae
Description: HSALNT0329224
Source: RNAcentral
AGCAGCAAGUCACUUCAGAGUGCACUGGGGCAAAUCACAUCAUGUCAUUAUGUCAUGGAUCAUAAUGAAGCACAGAGGCUAAUUGAACCAACAGGCCUCAACGCUAAUCUCCAUGCCAGACUAGAGGCUUGAGAAGUUUUCUGAUGGGGAUAAAGGAGAGGAGAUUGAAAGCUGAAGUUAAUGAUUAAAGCCAAAUGAACCCCACAGUUGUCUCCCUUUAUCCAUGAGGGACAUCUUCCAAGGCCCCCAGUGGAUGUCUGAAACCGCAGCAUACUUUUGUCCAUAAAGCAAAAUCCGAAGAUUAGUGUUAAGAAACAGGAUUUGGAACUCUCAGAACAAGGCCAUUGGGGGUGGAGAUUUCUUACCUAUGGCUUAAAGAGGCUUCCGAGGUGAUCGGGCAGCAUCAGUCUUCAGCUGCUAA